AUCCAACCGACGAGUCUUAUAUAGGACGAAACGCGCUUGCUGGAU
Molecule: non-coding RNA, 45 nt
Organism: Schistosoma haematobium
Lineage: Eukaryota; Metazoa; Platyhelminthes; Trematoda; Strigeidida; Schistosomatidae
Source: Rfam